UUUGCAGCCACAUACAUUUAUGCUUUAGCCUUUAUGAAUUCCUUGGCCUUCGGUCACUGCAUGUAAAUCUGUUUGUGUUUAUGUUUGUGAGAAAUACUGUAGAUCUAUUAUAACGGUUGGUACCAUUAAAUCUGGACCUGUAUUAAUAUUGCUGGCGUUAAUAACGAUAUGAUGACAGUGUACCACAACAAAUUCAGUUAAUUUUCCUGUAAACAUCCUCUUUCCAUGCAGAAUGAUUGUCUCAAGUUUCUUGCUCAAAAUAGGCCUGCUCAUGUACCGAUCUGAUCAAGAGAUGUGCUUACUGGUGAGUGACGGCGAAACUAGCUACAAUCACCUUUAUUUUUAUCAAUUCCUUGCUGAUAAUACUCUGGUUCUUACUUUAUCUACAGAGCUCUAAUUAUAUUCUCCUAAUAUUUUGUGUGGCCUUUAGAUCGUUCAACGUUGAGAUGAUGUACCAAACGCCGACUUCUUUAGCCUUCUUCGAGGCAUGUCAGUCCCUUUCCUUUUCUGCUAAUUGCUUCCAUGUUUUUUGGCUGUUCACUGGAGUGGGAUAACUUGGAAAGCUGUUACAACAGCCCAUUCUACAUCUUUGAUGAUAUUUAGUGUGAAACAGACUGGGCAUGGAUUAUUUAUCCUAAAUAUUUUGUAUAUAUACUUAGUCUAGAAAAAAGUGUGUGCUAGGUCUCAGGUUUGUUCAUUUCACCAUCUCCCAAUAAUUUGGCCUGGUGUACAGACCUACAGCUCUUAGUAAAUUCUACUUCUAGGUGCGUUCAUGUCAGGGAUUUUCCACUGGUUGCUAAGCAAUAGAUAACUGAGAUAGAAGGCUUUGUUUAUCUUUGUUUCCAUAUUUUAUUAGAUCAUAAAAAGCUAUUUCCUUUGUUUCGUGGUACAGUUGCACAUUUUUACUCUAGGAAUAUUAGCUUAUGAACUGUGAUGCAAAAUUAAUAGAUAACUGAGAUAGAAGGCUUUGUUUAUCUUUGUUUCCAUAUUUUAUUAGAUCAUAAAAAGCUAUUUCCUUUGUUUCGUGGUACAGUUGCACAUUUUUACUCUAGGAAUAUUAGCUUAUGAACUGUGAUGCAAAAUUAAUAGAUAACUGAGAUAGAAGGCUUUGUUUAUCUUUGUUUCCAUAUUUUAUUAGAUCAUAAAAAGCCAUUUCCUUUGUUUCGUGGUACAGUUGCACAUUUUUACUCUAGGAAUAUUAGCUUAUGAACUGUGAUGCAAAAUUAGGAUGUCGAUCCAAUUGCAGUUGCUUUUCUCUUGCAGCAGCAAAUUUCACCUUCAACCACUAUAACUAUGGUGAAAAAAUAGGAUAGACAUUUAAUCAAUACUGAAUUUUGUGAAUGUUUACCAACAAUUUCGUCUUGGUUACUCUUGGUGGCUGCAGAUUGCAGAUAGUUGGUCUGGUUUUUGUAUAUUUCAUUUCAGGUUUUGCAAACUGACAACCGAAUUUUCCUGAAAAGAAGGGACUUAAUCUGAAUAGACUAAAUUGCUCCUAAUAUCAAUCUCCGUGUGUAUCUGCCCUUUCUUAUUUCAGUACAUCGCAUUGCUAAUAAUGCUUAGUAUACAUGCUGCUAAGUUUGUAAUCUUACCUUCUCAACAGUUCUGCAGUCUGGAUGUAUUUUGGAUGGCCUAUCUGAAUUACAGGCGUCUCCUUGACCUAUUACUUGCCGACGAACUUUGGUGCGUCGCAAAGAAUCACGCAAAUUGUGGAGAAGUUUCCAGUAAGCUGUCGUAGAAUUCUGUUGCCGAGUGGUUCUCUGGAGUUGACUCUCACAUCUGGGAUCAUAUUGGCUGUUUCAAACUUGUGAGAGUAACAGUUAUUCAGAAUGGCUCUAACACGUGAACGUCACCGUGUAGAAUUGUAAAUGUCAACAUUCAGAGGCUGCUUCUACGUUGGUUUAUGAUUGUACACCCGUCCACGCAUGUCAUGCAUUAUUGAGACUGUCAAGUGUAAACCACUUCUUCCGUGGAAUCCUGGAAACUCAAACAGAGCCCUUCGAUACAAGUUGUACCAGGUUGUUGAUUGCUCUCAUUUUCCCACGUAACCCCUCGUGCUGACGAGCUAAUGCGCUACAGGCCCAAUAGAUUAGGCGCCCUGCAUUUUUAAUGGGCUGGCGGCGAAUACCCUCUUUUUUUUGCGUGGGUUUUUCCUCGGUACUUUUUCGAGGAUACUCCCGCCCUUGAAACUCCUCCCUUUGGUCAUCCCUUUGCUAGAC
This 2216-nucleotide long non-coding RNA is filed under the name Triticum aestivum (bread wheat). RNAcentral describes it as "long non-coding RNA (TAES_LNC026272)". Lineage: Eukaryota; Viridiplantae; Streptophyta; Magnoliopsida; Poales; Poaceae. The record is from RNAcentral.